Molecule: ribosomal RNA, 490 nt
Filed under: uncultured bacterium
Lineage: Bacteria
Description: partial 16S ribosomal RNA
Rfam family: Bacterial small subunit ribosomal RNA
Source: RNAcentral
CUUGAACGCUGGCGGCAGGCCUAACACAUGCAAGUCGAACGGUAACAGGAAACAGCUUGCUGUUUCGCUGACGAGUGGCGGACGGGUGAGUAAUGUCUGGGAAACUGCCUGAUGGAGGGGGAUAACUACUGGAAACGGUAGCUAAUACCGCAUAACGUCGCAAGACCAAAGAGGGGGACCUUCGGGCCUCUUGCCAUCGGAUGUGCCCAGAUGGGAUUAGCUAGUAGGUGGGGUAACGGCUCACCUAGGCGACGAUCCCUAGCUGGUCUGAGAGGAUGACCAGCCACACUGGAACUGAGACACGGUCCAGACUCCUACGGGAGGCAGCAGUGGGGAAUAUUGCACAAUGGGCGCAAGCCUGAUGCAGCCAUGCCGCGUGUAUGAAGAAGGCCUUCGGGUUGUAAAGUACUUUCAGCGGGGAUGAAGGGAGUAAAGUUAAUACCUUUGCUCAUUGACGUUACCCGCAGAAGAAGCACCGGCUAACUCCGUG